CCUACGGGAGGCAGCAGUGGGGGAUAUUGCACAAUGGGGGGAACCCUGAUGCAGCGACGCCGCGUGGGUGAAGGAGUGCUUCGGCAUGUAAAGCCCUAUCGGCAGGGAAGAAGCAAGACGGUACCUGACUAAGAAGCCCCGGCUAACUACGUGCCAGCAGCCGCGGUAAUACGGAGGGGGCGAGCGUUAUCCGGAUGCACUGGGUGUAAAGGGAGCGUAGGCGGCCAUGCAAGCCAGGGGUGAAAGCCCGGGGCCAAACCCCGGGACUGCCCUUGGAACGGGAUGGCGGGAGUGCGGGAGGGGCAGGCGGAAUGCCUGGUGUAGCGGUGAAAUGCGUAGAUAUCAGGAAGAACACCGGCGGCGAAGGCGGCCUGCUGGACCGCGACUGACGUUGAGGCUCGAAAGCGUGGGGAGCGAACAGGAUUAGAUACCCUGGUAGUC
RNAcentral lists this ribosomal RNA (441 nucleotides) under uncultured bacterium. Its description in RNAcentral is "partial 16S ribosomal RNA". It matches the Rfam family "Bacterial small subunit ribosomal RNA", at positions 338 to 795 of the family's 1533-position model. The record is from RNAcentral.